Molecule: ribosomal RNA, 469 nt
Filed under: uncultured bacterium
Lineage: Bacteria
Description: bacterial SSU rRNA
Rfam family: Bacterial small subunit ribosomal RNA
Source: RNAcentral
CUUAAUACAUGCAAGUCGUGGGGCAGCAGGUUUGUAGCAAUACAGAUGCUGGCGACCGGGCAAGCGGGUGCGGAACACGUACAGAACCUUCCUUGAGCGGGGAAUAGCCCAGAGAAAUUUGGAUUAAUACCCCAUAGUAUAAUGAAGUGGCAUCACUUUAUUAUUAAAGAUUUAUCACUCGAAGAUGGCUGUGCGGCUGAUUAGGUAGUUGGCGGGGUAAAGGCCCACCAAGCCUGCGAUCAGUAACUGGUGUGAGAGCACGACCAGUCACACGGGCACUGAGACACGGGCCCGACUCCUACGGGAGGCAGCAGUAAGGAAUAUUGGUCAAUGGAGGCAACUCUGAACCAGCCAUGCCGCGUGGAGGAUGAAGGUCCUCUGGAUUGUAAACUUCUUUUAUAUGGGACGAAAAAAGGCUUUUCUAAGUCGUCUGACGGUACCAUAUGAAUAAGCACCGGCUAACUCCGUG